GAUGAACGCUGGCGGCGUGCCUAAUACAUGCAAGUCGAGCGAACAGACGAGGAGCUUGCUCCUCUGACGUUAGCGGCGGACGGGUGAGUAACACGUGGAUAACCUACCUAUAAGACUGGGAUAACUUCGGGAAACCGGAGCUAAUACCGGAUAAUAUAUUGAACCGCAUGGUUCAAUACUGAAAGACGGUUUUGCUGUCACUUAUAGAUGGAUCCGCGCCGCAUUAGCUAGUUGGUAAGGUAACGGCUUACCAAGGCAACGAUGCGUAGCCGACCUGAGAGGGUGAUCGGCCACACUGGAACUGAGACACGGUCCAGACUCCUACGGGAGGCAGCAGUAGGGAAUCUUCCGCAAUGGGCGAAAGCCUGACGGAGCAACGCCGCGUGAGUGAUGAAGGUCUUCGGAUCGUAAAACUCUGUUAUUAGGGAAGAACAAAUGUGUAAGUAACUAUGCACGUCUUGACGGUACCUAAUCAGAAAGCCACGGCUAACUACGUG
RNAcentral lists this ribosomal RNA (497 nucleotides) under uncultured bacterium. RNAcentral's name for it is "partial 16S ribosomal RNA". It matches the Rfam family "Bacterial small subunit ribosomal RNA", at positions 28 to 507 of the family's 1533-position model. The record is from RNAcentral.